CUAUCCUUCGGGAUAGUGGAAAGUGGCAGACGGGUGAGUAACGCGUGGGAACGUGCCUUUCGGUUCGGGAUAACUCAGGGAAACUUGGGCUAAUACCGAAUACGCCCUUCGGGGGAAAGAUUUAUCGCCGAAAGAUCGGCCCGCGUCGGAUUAGCUUGUUGGUGAGGUAAAAGCUCACCAAGGCGACGAUCCGUAGCUGGUCUGAGAGGAUGAUCAGCCACACUGGGACUGAGACACGGCCCAG
This 244-nucleotide ribosomal RNA is filed under the name uncultured bacterium. Its description in RNAcentral is "partial 16S ribosomal RNA". It matches the Rfam family "Bacterial small subunit ribosomal RNA", at positions 73 to 334 of the family's 1533-position model. The record is from RNAcentral.